RNAcentral lists this transfer RNA (71 nucleotides) under Acetobacteraceae bacterium. RNAcentral's name for it is "tRNA-Val". It matches the Rfam family "tRNA". Rfam says of the family: Transfer RNA (tRNA) molecules are approximately 80 nucleotides in length. The record is from RNAcentral. Lineage: Bacteria; Pseudomonadati; Pseudomonadota; Alphaproteobacteria; Acetobacterales; Acetobacteraceae.
AGGCGUGUGGCUCAACGGUAGAGCGCUGCUAUCACAUGGCAGAGAUGGGGGUUCAAUUCCUUCCGCGCCUA